AUGGUAUAAAUUGGCUUCCAUGGAUUGGUUUCAAUUCUGAAUGCUUUUAUGGAGCCAAAGCUCAUCUCCGCACUCUUGGGCUGCAUGCUGUAAUCCUGGGGGACUGGGAUUAGUCCUGUGGCUUUGCUCUCUGGCCCCUUGAGAUUAAGCACCUGCUGUGCUGGAGGGGCUGAGGUGUUCCCAGUUCACUUGCAACAACACUCUGGCAGGGUCUGCUGGCAAAAUUGCUCCAGUGGGGCAGUGGGGGUCUCCACACACAUGUGCACCAAUGGAGGAGGCUGCAGAGAGACUUCAAUUAUUUUAUUUGAUGUGCCACUGGACAGACCUGUAAAUGGAAGCUCAAGGAAUCCAGUGAGUUGUCUCUGGAAAAGAGCAGAGCAGAUGAACACAACAGAUGAAGCUAUUAAUGCAGCUUUACCUUACUGACCCACAGCACUUCGAGUCUGAGUUUCCUCUGGACCAAGUGCUUAUCUUCUCUAUACAGAUUGGGGAUUCUAUCUCCCAAGAAUGCAAUAACAGCCCCUUUUGAAUAUUCUAAUUCCAAGACUCAUUGC
RNAcentral lists this non-coding RNA (554 nucleotides) under Pongo abelii (Sumatran orangutan). Lineage: Eukaryota; Metazoa; Chordata; Mammalia; Primates; Hominidae. The record is from RNAcentral.